This is a long non-coding RNA of Cucumis melo (muskmelon), 1365 nucleotides long. RefSeq lists it as uncharacterized. The transcript is spliced from 4 exons. NCBI's taxonomy places the organism in Eukaryota, Viridiplantae, Streptophyta, Magnoliopsida, Cucurbitales, Cucurbitaceae. The record is from RefSeq and is a predicted model, not a curated record.
GCUCUCUCUUAAAACACAUGCUCCCUCUACCGAAAAACGCAAAGGCUUUCUCUCCUUCUCUCCACCGAAAAUGCAAAGUGCACUGUCAUCGAUUCCACACCAGCCAACUCCAGCCACUCCAGCCACCCGCUAUCGUCAAUUACAUUCUAGCCACCCGCCGCUGUCAAUUCCACUCCAGCCGACUCCAGCCACCUGUCGAUUCCACUCCAGCAACUACCGUCGUUGACGCCACAACAAGCCUUCACCAUUAAACCCAUCGUCUGGUACAAGAUCUUCUGCCGUCCAGUGCUUCAUUCCAGUUGUGCUUCUUCUUUGUUUUAUUUGGUAGUCUAGUAGAAGCAACCGUUGACCCAAUUGGAAAUUGGAAACUUUGGCCUUUCUCUUUUAAAAGAUCUAAUUCUAGGAAAGGAACUCAACCAGCUAUUGAUGGAGGCAUACAUUUUGAUAUUAAGAAGGCUUCAAAUAGAAAUAAUGAAUUGAAUUGAGAAGCAAGCAUUGUUAAGCACAAGGUAGAGAAACAAAUGGUUAACCCUCUCACCGACAUAGUUGGCAUCCUUCAAUCUCAAUGAAAGGGGAGCACAAUAAGUUUCACAUUUUACAUUACGGUGGAAAACAGUAGCAAACUUGGUGUGCCAUUUAAAACUACUAUGUCAGCAACAGUUUUGGAAGAGGCUCUUAAUGGGGUUGUGACUGUUCAUCCACUUCUAUUGGGCACUCCUAUUUCUAAAAGGCAGUCUAAAAAAAGCUACCAUCUCAGUGCCAUAUAAAAACAAAUGAGGAGAUUUCCUUAAGAGGGGAGAGAAAAAAGGAAGAGAUUUUUUUGGAAGAAGGGGAAAUCGAUUGAAAGGGUUAAAAGAAACGCGAAGAAACUAUUCUGCCAAUUUGUUCUUCAAAGAUAAGUUUUUUUUUUCUUUCCUUCUUUUCCUUUUUGAUUAUAAUGUAGAUUUUUUCCAAUUUUUUUUUUUUGUUUUUUAAUUCGUUGAGUUGUUUUUACAGUGCCUUUAAUUUUGUUAGGUUAGGUCAUUUGAAUGUUGUUGCAUCAAACUAUGUCUCUACUUUGUAUUUUAAUUUUGUUAGGUUUAAGCCAUUUGAAUAUUGUUACAUCAAAUUAUGCCUCUAUUUUAUGUUUUAAUUUUAUUAGGUUUAGGCCAUUUGAAUGUUGUUGCAUUAAAUUAUGUUUCUGCUUUAUGUUUUAACUUUAUUAGGUUUAGGCUAUUUGAAUGUUGUUGCAUCAAAUUAUGUCUCUGCUUUAUGUUUUAACUUUAUUAGGUUUAGGCUAUUUGAAUGUUGUUGCAUCAAAUUAUGUCUCUGCUUUCUAUUUUAGUUUUAUUAGGUUUAUGUCAUUUGAAUAUUAUUGCAUCAAAU